Molecule: ribosomal RNA, 478 nt
Filed under: uncultured bacterium
Lineage: Bacteria
Description: partial 16S ribosomal RNA
Rfam family: Bacterial small subunit ribosomal RNA
Source: RNAcentral
GACGAACGCUGGCGGCGUGCUUAACACAUGCAAGUCGAACGGUAAGGCCCUUCGGGGUACACGAGUGGCGAACGGGUGAGUAACACGUGGGUGAUCUGCCCUGCACUUCGGGAUAAGCCUGGGAAACUGGGUCUAAUACCGGAUAGGACCACUGCCUGCAUGGGUGGUGGUGGAAAGCUUUUGCGGUGUGGGAUGGGCCCGCGGCCUAUCAGCUUGUUGGUGGGGUGAUGGCCUACCAAGGCGACGACGGGUAGCCGGCCUGAGAGGGUGACCUGCCACACUGGGAAUGAGAUACGGCCCAGACUCCUACGGGAGGCAGCAGUGGGGAAUAGUGCACAAUGGGCGCAAGCCUGAUGCAGCGACGCCGCGUGAGGGAUGACGGCCUUCGGGUUGUAAACCUCUUUUAGUAGGGAAGAAGCGAAAGUGACGGUACCUGCAGAAAAAGCACCGGCUAACUACGUGCCAGCAGCCGCGGUAA